This 547-nucleotide ribosomal RNA is filed under the name soil bacterium LP-P1-1. Its description in RNAcentral is "bacterial SSU rRNA". It matches the Rfam family "Bacterial small subunit ribosomal RNA", at positions 355 to 893 of the family's 1533-position model. The record is from RNAcentral.
UAGGGAAUCUUCCGCAAUGGGCGAAAGCCUGACGGAGCAACGCCGCGUGAGUGAUGAAGGUCUUCGGAUCGUAAAACUCUGUUAUUAGGGAAGAACAAAUGUGUAAGUAACUAUGCACGUCUUGACGGUACCUAAUCAGAAAGCCACGGCUAACUACGUGCCAGCAGCCGCGGUAAUACGUAGGUGGCAAGCGUUAUCCGGAAUUAUUGGGCGUAAAGCGCGCGUAGGCGGUUUUUUAAGUCUGAUGUGAAAGCCCACGGCUCAACCGUGGAGGGUCAUUGGAAACUGGAAAACUUGAGUGCAGAAGAGGAAAGUGGAAUUCCAUGUGUAGCGGUGAAAUGCGCAGAGAUAUGGAGGAACACCAGUGGCGAAGGCGACUUUCUGGUCUGUAACUGACGCUGAUGUGCGAAAGCGUGGGGAUCAAACAGGAUUAGAUACCCUGGUAGUCCACGCCGUAAACGAUGAGUGCUAAGUGUUAGGGGGUUUCCGCCCCUUAGUGCUGCAGCUAACGCAUUAAGCACUCCGCCUGGGGAGUACGACCGCAAGU